RNAcentral lists this ribosomal RNA (370 nucleotides) under uncultured organism. Its description in RNAcentral is "bacterial SSU rRNA". It matches the Rfam family "Bacterial small subunit ribosomal RNA", at positions 526 to 896 of the family's 1533-position model. The record is from RNAcentral.
CGUAGGGUGCGAGCGUUAAUCGGAAUUACUGGGCGUAAAGCGUGCGCAGGCGGUUCGUUGUGUCGGUGGUGAAAGCCCCGGGCUUAACCUGGGAAUGGCCAUGGAAACUGGCGAACUGGAGUGUGGCAGAGGGGGGUGGAAUUCCGCGUGUAGCAGUGAAAUGCGUAGAGAUGCGGAGGAACACCGAUGGCGAAGGCAGCCCCCUGGGCUAGCACUGACGCUCAGGCACGAAAGCGUGGGGAGCAAACAGGAUUAGAUACCCUGGUAGUCCACGCCCUAAACCAUGUCAACUGGGUGUUCGGGAAGCGAUUUCUGAGUACCGUAGCUAACGCGUGAAGUUGACCGCCUGGGGAGUACGGCCGCAAGGUUA